RNAcentral lists this ribosomal RNA (253 nucleotides) under uncultured bacterium. RNAcentral describes it as "partial 16S ribosomal RNA". It matches the Rfam family "Bacterial small subunit ribosomal RNA", at positions 524 to 776 of the family's 1533-position model. The record is from RNAcentral.
UACGAAGGGUGCUAGCGUUGUUCGGAAUCACUGGGCGUAAAGCGUGCGCAGGCGGCUAUUCAAGUCAGGGGUGAAAUGCCUGGGCUCAACCCAGGAACUGCCUUUGAAACUGUAUAGCUAGAGUCUCGGAGGGGUUAGGGGAAUUCCUAAUGUAGCGGUGAAAUGCGUAGAUAUUAGGAGGAACACCGGUGGCGAAGGCGCCACUCUGGGCCGGUACUGACGCUGAGGAGCGAAAGCGUGGGGAGCGAACAGG